CUUUCAUUGGAAAAAAAAAACUCUGUUCAAUCAGUAGUUCAAAUGCAACUUUAAGGUUUUGGUGAAAUGGGGAUCUGAACUUUGAAAAUAGUGAGUCAUUACUAUAGAUGAGAUCUCUCCCUCUGUGUGUGUGUUUAGUUGGCGUACGCAAAACUCUUGUUGUAUUGGUUAAUGUAGAUGAUUAGUGAUACAAUGUCUUGAGAUCUUUAUCUGUACACUUCUAGAUUUUUAUCCUCCCAUUUUUGUUUUGGAAAGGGCUAAAGAUUGGCUUCCUCAAGAUUGCAGAUCUUGGUCUUCGAAGGGUCGUGUUAGUCAAAAGAUAAACAACCACGAGGUGUUCGAGUUCGAAGAGAAGAUCAAUAUUUCCUCACAAUUUGAUGAAGAUGGAGAUUACAAUGGUGCCGCUGGAACUUAGUUGAAGUUUUUCCCUUAAUACUUCCCGUUUUGUGUCAAGACAUGUGGGCAACUUUUGGGAUAGUAAGAUUGUUUCACUGCCAUUCUCUUUCAAAAUGUUGGUAGGACAUGAAGGCUUGCUAUUGAAUUUGUUUAAUUUAAAGUUACUUGAUGUUAGAUGGAAAUAUAUUUCUCUUUUGUUUUGAAUGGAAUCCUGGGUGAAUUUAUGUGUAGCUUAUUGGUUCAUUUA
Rhododendron vialii is the source of this 643-nucleotide long non-coding RNA. RefSeq lists it as uncharacterized. The record is from RefSeq and is a predicted model, not a curated record. Lineage: Eukaryota; Viridiplantae; Streptophyta; Magnoliopsida; Ericales; Ericaceae. The transcript is spliced from 2 exons.